GGUUAAGCGACUAAGCGUACACGGUGGAUGCCCUGGCAGUCAGAGGCGAUGAAGGACGUGCUAAUCUGCGAUAAGCGCCGGUAAGGUGAUAUGAACCGUUAUAACCGGCGAUUUCCGAAUGGGGAAACCCAGUGUGAUUCGUCACACUAUCAUUACGUGAAUACAUAGCGUAAUGAAGCGAACCGGGGGAACUGAAACAUCUAAGUACCCCGAGGAAAAGAAAUCAACCGAGAUUCCCCCAGUAGCGGCGAGCGAACGGGGAGCAGCCCAGAGUCUGAAUCAGCAUGUGUGUUAGUGGAACGGUCUGGAAAGUCCGACGGUACAGGGUGAUAGUCCCGUACACAAAAAUGCACAGGUUGUGAACUCGAAGAGUAGGGCGGGACACGUGGUAUCCUGUCUGAAUAUGGGGGGACCAUCCUCCAAGGCUAAAUACUCCUGACUGACCGAUAGUGAACCAGUACCGUGAGGGAAAGGCGAAAAGAACCCCGGCGAGGGGAGUGAAAAAGAACCUGAAACCGUGUACGUACAAGCAGUGGGAGCACCUUCGGGUGUGACUGCGUACCUUUUGUAUAAUGGGUCAGCGACUUAUAUUCUGUAGCAAGGUUAACCGUAUAGGGGAGCCGAAGGGAAACCGAGUCUUAACUGGGCGUUAAGUUGCAGGGUAUAGACCCGAAACCCGGUGAUCUAGCCAUGGGCAGGUUGAAGGUUGGGUAACACUAACUGGAGGACCGAACCGACUAAUGUUGAAAAAUUAGCGGAUGACUUGUGGCUGGGGGUGAAAGGCCAAUCAAACCGGGAGAUAGCUGGUUCUCCCCGAAAGCUAUUUAGGUAGCGCCUCGUGAAUUCAUCUUCGGGGGUAGAGCACUGUUUCGGCUAGGGGGUCAUCCCGACUUACCAACCCGAUGCAAACUGCGAAUACCGAAGAAUGUUAUCACGGGAGACACACGGCGGGUGCUAACGUCCGUCGUGAAGAGGGAAACAACCCAGACCGCCAGCUAAGGUCCCAAAGUCAUGGUUAAGUGGGAAACGAUGUGGGAAGGCACAGACAGCCAGGAUGUUGGCUUAGAAGCAGCCAUCAUUUAAAGAAAGCGUAAUAGCUCACUGGUCGAGUCGGCCUGCGCGGAAGAUGUAACGGGGCUAAACCAUGCACCGAAGCUGCGGCAGCGACACUAUGUGUUGUUGGGUAGGGGAGCGUUCUGUAAGCCGUUGAAGGUGGCCUGUGAGGGCUGCUGGAGGUAUCAGAAGUGCGAAUGCUGACAUAAGUAACGAUAAUGCGGGUGAAAAACCCGCACGCCGGAAGACCAAGGGUUCCUGUCCAACGUUAAUCGGGGCAGGGUGAGUCGACCCCUAAGGCGAGGCCGAAAGGCGUAGUCGAUGGGAAACAGGUUAAUAUUCCUGUACUUGGUGUUACUGCGAAGGGGGGACGGAGAAGGCUAUGU
This 1439-nucleotide ribosomal RNA is filed under the name Citrobacter cronae. RNAcentral describes it as "partial 23S ribosomal RNA". It matches the Rfam family "Bacterial large subunit ribosomal RNA", at positions 1 to 1487 of the family's 2925-position model. Lineage: Bacteria; Pseudomonadati; Pseudomonadota; Gammaproteobacteria; Enterobacterales; Enterobacteriaceae. The record is from RNAcentral.